Araneus ventricosus is the source of this 100-nucleotide non-coding RNA. Lineage: Eukaryota; Metazoa; Arthropoda; Arachnida; Araneae; Araneidae. The record is from the annotation of a GenBank genome assembly.
AUGCUGGAAGCACUGGUUCUCGUCUGAACACCGCAGUUAAGCAGCAUCCGGCGCGGUCAGUACUUGGGAGGGUGGACCACCCGAGAACACCGGCUGUUGG